AGUGAACGCUGGCGGUAGGCCUAACACAUGCAAGUCGAACGGCAGCACAGUAAAAGCUCGCUCUUAUGGGUGGCGAGUAGCAGACGGGUGAGGAAUACAUCGGAACCUACGUUUUCGUGGGGGAAUACGGAGGGAAACCUACGGUAAUACCGCAAACGACCUACGGGUGACAGCAGGGGACCUUCGGACUUUGCGGGAUUGAAUGGGCCGAUGUCGGAUUAGCUAGUUGGCGGGGUAAAGGCCAACCAAGGCCACGAUCCGUAGCAGGUCUGAGGGGAUGAACAGCCACACUGGAACUGAGACAGGCUCCAGACUCCGGCGGUGGGCAACAGUGGAGAAUAUUGGAGGAUGGAGGCGAGGGUGAUCCAGCCAUACCGGGUGGGUGAAGAAGGCCUUCGGGUUGGAAAGUCAUUUUGUUGGGAAAGAAGAACAGCAGGUUAAUACCCCGCUGUUCUGACGGUACCCAAAGAAUAAGCACCGGCUAACUUCGUG
RNAcentral lists this ribosomal RNA (492 nucleotides) under uncultured bacterium. RNAcentral's name for it is "partial 16S ribosomal RNA". It matches the Rfam family "Bacterial small subunit ribosomal RNA", at positions 29 to 507 of the family's 1533-position model. The record is from RNAcentral.